GUGCUCACAUUGGCAGCAUAUAUCCUAAAACUGAAAUGAUACAGAGAAAAUUAGCAUGGCCACUGUUCAAGAAUGAUAUGCAAAUUCAUGACACAUUCCAUUU
Small nuclear RNA from Vombatus ursinus (common wombat), 103 nucleotides. Lineage: Eukaryota; Metazoa; Chordata; Mammalia; Diprotodontia; Vombatidae. The record is from Ensembl.